This 413-nucleotide ribosomal RNA is filed under the name Caliphylla sp. VIZ 01. Its description in RNAcentral is "partial 16S ribosomal RNA". It matches the Rfam family "Bacterial large subunit ribosomal RNA", at positions 1914 to 2608 of the family's 2925-position model. Lineage: Eukaryota; Metazoa; Mollusca; Gastropoda; Caliphyllidae. The record is from RNAcentral.
GUGCCUAGUGUUAACGGCCGCAGUACCUUGACUGUGCUAAGGUAGCAUAAUCAGUUGGCUUUUAAAUGGAGUCGGGAAUGAAUGGACUAAUGGAGUGAAGCUGUCUCUUCUAUAUUAUAUUUAAUUUACUUAGUAGGUGAAAAUGCCUACUUCCAGAAAAAAGACGAGAAGACCCUAGGAGUUUUUACUAAAAGUUAUCUUAUAAUUUCCGUUUUUGUUGGGGCGACAUUGGAGAAAUAUUUAUCUAAACCUCCUUUUAGAGAUUUGCCGACUAUGUAUGUGAAUUUAAACUACCCUAGGGAUAACAGCGUAAUUUUGUUUAAGCUUGCGACCUCGAUGUUGGACUAGGAAUUUGGCAGGUUAGCCGCCUGUUUUUAAUGUUCUGUUCGAACUGUGCCUCCUACGUGAUCUGA